Molecule: transfer RNA, 71 nt
Filed under: Loxodonta africana (African savanna elephant)
Lineage: Eukaryota; Metazoa; Chordata; Mammalia; Proboscidea; Elephantidae
Rfam family: tRNA
About the family: Transfer RNA (tRNA) molecules are approximately 80 nucleotides in length. Their secondary structure includes four short double-helical elements and three loops (D, anti-codon, and T loops).
Source: Rfam by way of RNAcentral
GCAGUGGUGGUUCAAUGGUUAAACUCUCACCUUCCACGCAGGAAACCCAGGUUCAAUUCCCGGCCAAUACA